GUCAUCACCUGGAGGACCAAUCACAGACCACAGAGCAUCGGCCAGACCACAGGGCAUUUGGGCAGUUUGUGCUGAUUGGUGGAUUCUGACUGAACAAAAAUGUGAUGCCCUAUUUUCACAGCAAUAUAAAACACCAACCAAGGAGGCCCUUGAAGAACCAGAAAAUAGCUUGGCUCCAGAUGGUUUUUUUUUUUGUUUUUUUUUUGCCAAUUGGAGACCCAGCAUCACCUAAGGCCUGACCAUACUUCCUGCCUUGGCUUCUGUGAACAUCUCUGUAUCCUUACAGGAUCUGCAUUAGCGAAACAAAGGUGCCGGUUGCCUCCUUGGAGUCACCUUUUUCCUUCCUUGGCAUGGAGCCAGUACCAAGAAUCUCCAGGGAUAGAGGUGGGACCCUAUGGGGAAAAGCAGAUAGCAGAGAAGGAAAGAAGAGGAAGACAGAAGUUUCUCCUCCCACACGUCAAAGGUUAAUUGUGUGAGAACAAAAGAAGAUUCCUUCCCCUGACUGAGUAGACUCACCAUAUAUUACUAGUAAGGGUAUUUUCUUUCAAGCAAUGGGUUGGACCUAUGGGGCAUGAGAGAGAAGUUUCACUGGUUUGCACUGGCUUCUGUCACUAGCUAAUAAAGAAGGCUGCCUGAGA
RNAcentral lists this long non-coding RNA (638 nucleotides) under Homo sapiens (human). RNAcentral's name for it is "HSALNT0336129". The record is from RNAcentral. Lineage: Eukaryota; Metazoa; Chordata; Mammalia; Primates; Hominidae.